Molecule: ribosomal RNA, 366 nt
Filed under: uncultured bacterium
Lineage: Bacteria
Description: bacterial SSU rRNA
Rfam family: Bacterial small subunit ribosomal RNA
Source: RNAcentral
UACUGGGCGUAAAGCGCGCGUAGGUCGGUUCUGUUAAGUCGGAUGUGAAAUCCCAGGGCUCAACCCUGGAACUGCCUUUGAUACUGGUAGUCUAGAGAUCGAGAGAGGUGAGUGGAAUUCCGAGUGUAGAGGUGAAAUUCGUAGAUAUUCGGAGGAACACCAGUGGCGAAGGCGGCUCACUGGCUCGAUACUGACGCUGAGGUGCGAAAGUGUGGGGAGCAAACAGGAUUAGAUACCCUGGUAGUCCACAGCGUAUACGAGGGUUGCCAGUCCUCGGGUGUUAUACUGUUUAAUGGCCCAGCUAACGCAUUUUUCAUCCCGCCAGGGGAAUACAGUCCCAAGAUUCAAACUCAAAGGAAUUGACGC